Molecule: long non-coding RNA, 799 nt
Filed under: Olea europaea (common olive)
Lineage: Eukaryota; Viridiplantae; Streptophyta; Magnoliopsida; Lamiales; Oleaceae
Description: long non-coding RNA (OEUR_LNC004765)
Source: RNAcentral
UUCCAUGAGUCUCUUAGCUGUAUCUGCCUUCAUCUGCAUAUCUUUUUGUUUCUGGGAGUUAUAGUUCGAAAGUAUCUCAUAAUUACCAUAAGUUGUAUGAAGCAUAAGUUUUCAUUUAAAGCGGGGUGAAAUUCAACAUUUUCUUCUCUGAGUGAAAAAAGCAAUACAUGUAAAGUACAUCCAAAGACCAAGUUCGAGAUAGACAACCGAUGUAGCUUUUGUACACUUACGGGUGAAUCUUUGGCGCACUUGUUUUUUGAAUGUUUUUUCAGCCGAUCAGUUUGGGAUAAUAUACGUACAUGGGUGGGUCUCAAGCGAUCUAUGUCUACAAUUCAAAGCGCAUUGGAUUAAAAAGGAGAGUCGAGGCACUACUUGGCAUAGCAAGGUGAAAUGUAUUGCACUUGUGACCAAAGUCUACCAUAUUUAGAUGGGAAGGAACAAGUUGAUUUUUGAAGAUCUUAAAUUGAAUGUUGAUUGUACUACUCAUACGAUUAAAACACACAUAUACAAAGUUAUGUUUUCUUUGUAUCCGAAUGUUUUGAUUAGUUACGAAUCCAUUGCUUUAGGUCUCUAGAUUGUUUUUUUUUUUUUUUAUUUUUUUUUUCCGGGCUUUUUUGUUCAAUAGGCCAGAAAAAAAUAAGUGACUUAUAAGUCGGACAGACCAUAUUGUAAUUUUGCAUUACAUUUCUUGCUAGCUCUUAAUGAUUCUAUGUCAGGUUAUUUCUUUAGGCCAUGUUUGGGAGCUAUUUUUCAUCCAAAAAAUUAAUUUUUUAACCGUUAUUUUACUAUUACAGUCGUC